RNAcentral lists this ribosomal RNA (210 nucleotides) under Bacteroides fragilis. RNAcentral describes it as "partial 23S ribosomal RNA". It matches the Rfam family "Bacterial large subunit ribosomal RNA", at positions 483 to 692 of the family's 2925-position model. Lineage: Bacteria; Pseudomonadati; Bacteroidota; Bacteroidia; Bacteroidales; Bacteroidaceae. The record is from RNAcentral.
ACCGAUAGCGAACCAGUACUGUGAAGGAAAGGUGAAAAGCACUUCGAAUAGAAGAGUGAAAUAGUCCCUGAAACCAUGCGCCUACAAGCGGUCGGAGCAGCUUAAGUUGUGACGGCGUGCCUUUUGCAUAAUGAACCUACGAGUUACUUUUUCCGGCAAGGUUAAGCAUCUUGAGAUGUGGAUCCGAAGCGAAAGCGAGUCUGAACAGGG